This 72-nucleotide transfer RNA is filed under the name Fukomys damarensis (Damara mole-rat). It matches the Rfam family "tRNA". Rfam says of the family: Transfer RNA (tRNA) molecules are approximately 80 nucleotides in length. Their secondary structure includes four short double-helical elements and three loops (D, anti-codon, and T loops). Lineage: Eukaryota; Metazoa; Chordata; Mammalia; Rodentia; Bathyergidae. The record is from Rfam by way of RNAcentral.
GGCAGUGAAGCUGGGUAAUACAGCGCUUGUCUAGCAUGCUUAAGGCCCUGGGUUCUAUUCUCAGCACUGCCU